CCUACGGGUGGCUGCAGUGGGGAAUCUUGCACAAUGGGGGAAACCCUGAUGCAGCGACGCCGCGUGGAGGACGAAGGAUCUAGGUCUGUAAACUCCUUUUUCACGGAAAGACUUAGGACGGUACCGUGAGAAUAAGCCCCGGCUAACUACGUGCCAGCAGCCGCGGUAAGACGUAGGGGGCGAGCGUUGUCCGGAUUUACUGGGCGUAAAGAGCGCGUAGGCGGCUCGUUAAGUGUGAAGUGAAAUCUCCAGGGCUCAACCCGGAAACUGCUUCGCAUACUGGCGAGCUUGAGGAAUGCAGAGGUAAGUAGAAUUCCUGGUGUAGCGGUGAAAUGCGUAGAUAUCAGGAGGAAUACCGACGGCGAAGGCAGCUUACUGGGCAUUAUCUGACGCUGAGGCGCGAAAGCGUGGGUAGCAAACAGGAUUAGAUACCCCAGUAGUC
RNAcentral lists this ribosomal RNA (442 nucleotides) under uncultured Armatimonadota bacterium. RNAcentral's name for it is "bacterial SSU rRNA". It matches the Rfam family "Bacterial small subunit ribosomal RNA", at positions 338 to 795 of the family's 1533-position model. Lineage: Bacteria; Bacillati; Armatimonadota. The record is from RNAcentral.